GGAUCGUUCCUCGAAGUAGGCUAACUCGCCUUUUUCCUCCCUCCUGCUUCUUCAACUUAGUCUUGAGCUCUCAUAUCGACUCCCCGACCUUUCUUGCAGAUUGGGCAUCAGCUCGUCACCAACAUCGAGGCGGCAAAGAUCACCAAGAGGGAGGUAGCUCAGGCAGAAGAAGGUCGCCUAGCCGAGGUCGCCCGUCUUGAGGAGAAGAUCGUCGAGGUCCUGAGCCUUCAGGAGGUGCUGGAAAAGGAGGGACAAACCUCGUCCGAUCUGAGGACUAUCUUGG
RNAcentral lists this long non-coding RNA (283 nucleotides) under Elaeis guineensis (African oil palm). RNAcentral describes it as "long non-coding RNA (EGUI_LNC049556)". Lineage: Eukaryota; Viridiplantae; Streptophyta; Magnoliopsida; Arecales; Arecaceae. The record is from RNAcentral.